GAUGAACGCUGGCGGCGUGCCUAAUACAUGCAAGUCGAACGAAACUUCUUUAUCACCGAGUGCUUGCACUCACCGAUAAAGAGUUGAGUGGCGAACGGGUGAGUAACACGUGGGCAACCUGCCCAAAAGAGGGGGAUAACACUUGGAAACAGGUGCUAAUACCGCAUAACCAUAGUUACCGCAUGGUAACUAUGUAAAAGGUGGCUAUACUACCGCUUUUGGAUGGGCCCGCGGCGCAUUAGCUAGUUGGUAGGGUAAAGGCUUACCAAGGCAAUGAUGCGUAGCCGAAUUGAGAGGUUGAUCGGCCACAUGGGGACUGAGACACGGCCCAAACUCCUACGGGAGGCAGCAGUAGGGAAUCUUCCACAAUGGGCGAAAGCCUGAUGGAGCAACGCCGCGUGGGUGAAGAAGGUCUUCGGAUCGUAAAACCCUGUUGUUAGAGAAGAAAGUGCGUGAGAGUAACUGUUCACGUUUCGACGGUAUCUAACCAGAAAGCCACUGCUAACUACGUG
This 512-nucleotide ribosomal RNA is filed under the name uncultured bacterium. Its description in RNAcentral is "partial 16S ribosomal RNA". It matches the Rfam family "Bacterial small subunit ribosomal RNA", at positions 28 to 507 of the family's 1533-position model. The record is from RNAcentral.